Molecule: ribosomal RNA, 850 nt
Filed under: Romankenkius libidinosus
Lineage: Eukaryota; Metazoa; Platyhelminthes; Tricladida; Dugesiidae
Description: eukaryotic LSU rRNA
Rfam family: Eukaryotic large subunit ribosomal RNA
Source: RNAcentral
GAAACACGGACCAAGGAGUUUUAUAUGAUUGCGAGUCAAAGGGCUUUACGAAACCCCAGGGCGAAAUUAAUGUAAAGGUUUACUUUGGUAAGCUGAGAUGUGACCUUUUUGACUUCAAAAAUCAAUGAGUGCAACAUCAACCCGUCUAAAGGUGUUCGCAUCUGGGCGGAGUAUGAGCGAUCAUGUAGAGACCCGAAAGAUGGUGAACUAUGCUUGUGCAGGUUGAAGUCAGGGGAAACUCUGAUGGAGGACCGAAGCGGUUCUGACGUGCAAAUCGAUCGUCGGACAUGAGUAUAGGGGCGAAAGACUAAUCGAACCAUCUAGUAGCUGGUUCCCUCCGAAGUUUCCCUCAGGAUAGCUGGCGUUUAUUGUCGUAGUUUCACCUGGUAAAGCGAAUGAUUAGAAGUAUUGGGGACGAAAUGUUCUCAACUUAUUCUCAAACUUUAAAUGGGUUCGAAGUGUAUCUCGCUUCAUUGGAGAUGCACAUUGAAUACGAAUGCCUAGUGGGCCAUUUUUGGUAAGCAGAACUGGCGAUGUGGGAUGAACCAAACAUUUGGUUAAGGUGCCUAACAUCACGCUCAUGAGAACCCACACAAGGUGUUGGUUGAUAAAGACAGCAGGACGGUGGACUGGUCUCUCUCGCUAAGGAGUGUGUGACAACUCACAYGCCGARUCUACCAGCCCUGAAAAUGGAUGGCGCUGUAGCGUGAGACACCAUACCGARUCGGURUCGUAAGAACAUCAAUUUGUUUCGAGUAAACGGUAUCGUGUAGGAGGGUGCCGUGGUUGCUUAGAAGMUACUGGCGUGAGUCAGAGUGGAGCGGUCACGGGUACAGAUCUUGGUAGUAGU